UCCAGAAUUCCCAUUGAUUUGUGGCCUCCGUGCCCAUUUCCAUGCACAGUUGUGUGUCUGCACACCCUGGGAUCCAGCAUGUGCAGAGCAGCCUGUGAUGGACACACACAGGGCUUUUUUAGGGUCUGGAGACCCAGUGUGAGAUCCAGGACCCAGAAUUCCCUCUGGGAUCCAGCAGGAAUUGUGUUCCAUGCUUUUUUAGGGUCUGGAGACCCAGUGUCAGAUCCAGGACCCAGAAUUCCCACUGGGAUCCAGCAGAAUUGCGUUCCAUGCUUUUUUUUAGGGUCUGAAAACCCAGUGUCAGAUCCAGGACCCAGAAUUCCCUCUGGGAUCCAGCAGGAAUUGUUUUUCAUGCUUUUUUUAGGGUCUGGAGACCCAGUGUCAGAUCCAGGACCCAGAAUUCCCACUGGGAUCCAGCAGGAAUUGUUUUUC
This 432-nucleotide long non-coding RNA is filed under the name Zonotrichia albicollis (white-throated sparrow). RNAcentral's name for it is "lncRNA (ENSZALG00000001735.1)". Lineage: Eukaryota; Metazoa; Chordata; Aves; Passeriformes; Passerellidae. The record is from RNAcentral.